GAGGUACAUGUUGCAUCAAAAUGAAAAUAUUUGAAUGAGUCUCAACUCAACUGUCAUAUAAUCCACCAGCUGUGAGCUGGACUGGAAGUCAUGAUCAGAAACAAACAAACAAACAACUCUGCCUGGCUAGGGAACACCACAAUUUCCUGCUUCACCUGCGGCACAGUUCUGUUUCCAACCAGACCAGACCAGUUUCUAGGUACCAUUUUGCUACAGAAUACAAACUUCGGAGUAAUGGGUAGUUUCAUUCAUGUAAUUCAGUUAACGUUUUUCUCCCAGAAUAGUAAUAUUAAUUUCAUGUGGAUUUUUUUGAAACUUUUUUUGAUAAUUUGGAGUCAGAAAAUUUCAUUCAUAGUGAGAUGUUCCAUUUCAAUUGAGUCAUUGAUGGAUUCAUUUACUGAAUUUGUUUUAGACAGUGGAAAUUAACCAGUGGUUCUUCAAGAUAAGGGAAGGGUCCCCAAUGGUUAGUAUUAGUCUUCUUCUGUAUUGACAGUUUUUUUCUGAUUAUUUGUCCCAACUUGAGUGUACCACUAAUUUGUUUAAAUUAUUCAUAAAUAAGUUAAUUUUUUAUUAA
Long non-coding RNA from Lathyrus oleraceus (garden pea), 574 nucleotides. RefSeq lists it as uncharacterized. The transcript is spliced from 2 exons. The record is from RefSeq and is a predicted model, not a curated record. Lineage: Eukaryota; Viridiplantae; Streptophyta; Magnoliopsida; Fabales; Fabaceae.